Lolium rigidum is the source of this 594-nucleotide long non-coding RNA. RefSeq lists it as uncharacterized. The record is from RefSeq and is a predicted model, not a curated record. The transcript is spliced from 4 exons. NCBI's taxonomy places the organism in Eukaryota, Viridiplantae, Streptophyta, Magnoliopsida, Poales, Poaceae.
UCCGGUGCAUAACACAUUGCUUUGACAAGUAUUUACAGGUUAAUAUGUUUGAUAAAUUUCACAAGUACAUAAAAGUUCCUGGUGAAUGAACUCCUGCUGGAACCAAGCCGCUCUCGAGGUUGUUGAAGAGGCAUGCACUGAACUCCUUAUAAAUAUUCUGUGCAAAUACCUAUACGACCUAUCUGAAAUGUUCACAAGGUGGUAGGAUCAAAGUAGGAGCUGAGCCGGGUGCUGCUCUGUGAAGCGACCGUGAUCGUCAUGCGACAAAUGUUCCAUAUGUUGGGGAUCACACCGGUUUACAAGCUGUGGUUGACCAUUGUUUGAUCCUUAGAGCAUACAUCCUCCCAAACUACUCGUCAUGGAACACAUGACGCCAGUCUGGACGCCGCCGCUUCGUCCAUGCCAGGCACGAUUCAAGUGGCACUGCUAUCUCCCUUCUUUGGACUCAACCUUACAGUAAGAUGAGAUAUUGAUUCCCCGCAUCCAUGUGUAUGAACACCUAUAACUUGACUGACAAAUUGUCUCAUCGGAUUGUAGAUUGAAAUUUGUUACGCAAUGGGUUUUGAUUCAGGAAAGAUUAGUUAGAAAUCAGCA